Molecule: long non-coding RNA, 1449 nt
Organism: Xiphophorus hellerii (green swordtail)
Lineage: Eukaryota; Metazoa; Chordata; Actinopteri; Cyprinodontiformes; Poeciliidae
Exons: 3
Source: RefSeq, a predicted model, not a curated record
ACUUAUGUUUCGUCUAUCACCUAUAUAUUUGAUAUCUUACUGUAAUCACUUAAGAUUUACUCUUCUCUACAUUUCUUCCUGGAAUAUGAUGGUCAUUGCUUUCGUACCAGAAAUAAAUACGUAGAACAUCUCUUAACAAAUGUACAAAUGUAUUCUAUGCCAUACAUAUACAUCUGCACCGUUUUUUUAUAUUAGUUUCAUGCAGAUCAUCAAUAUUUCAAAUUUUGAAAAUAUAACCUCAUCCAACACUGAAGCACUUGUAAGCAGCUGAAUAUAAGUGUAGUAACUCGGCUGAAUCUUUAAAAUAUUAAUAUUUCUGUUACUUCAUUAUGAGCAAACCACAUUUCUCAUUACUUCCAUGUGAUGACUUACAUUUUUGGACAGAUAAUAUGUUAAGUUGUGCUUCACAUUAACUAAAUUGUAAUUGUAGCCAUCUAGUGAAAUUAUAUUUCUAUUGUCCCCAAAAAGUGCUAAUAAUGUCAAACUUAUGAUAAAUUACUGUAUUGACAGUGUAAUGGUCAACUUUAACAAACUGUUCUUUAAUUCAUUUUUAUCUGUUUUGAAGGACUUGCUGACGCUCAUUUAAGAAAAUGGAGAGAGAUCAACAAGAUCAGUGGGAUAGAGAGGUUGUGGCGUGAUCUGUGGAUGGGAGUCACAUGUGUUUUCUACAAUGUUCUACACCAACUGGAGGAGGAAAACCUCUUGGAUCUUAGCAAUCCUCUGCACUUGUUUUGCUGUCAUUAUGUUUUCUUGCCUCGCUUGCAAGUGCAUCUUGACAUAUUUAAACAAGGAUGGGACAAUCACCCAAUGAGAACUGAACAAAACCUCACUCCAAAUCAGUUGUGGGAACUGGGACAGAUCGGACAUUCAGUGGUUGACCCAGAGAUUCCCCAUAUAAACUGGGAGGAAAGUGGGCUUGUUCCUGAUCCACAUGCUGAAUUGCGAGUACCAGAGUUGGACAGCCCACUUACAGAAGAUCAGAUGGAGCUUCUCCGUGAAAACAUUGACCCCCUACAACCUUCAGAGUCUAGUGGCAUGGACAUUUACAUGGAUACUCUGCAAUAUUUGGAAACUUUACUUGUGACAAAUUAGAUGUCACUUAAAUUUAAAUGUUUGUAAUGAACAGCAUUUUCAAUACCAUUUAUUUAAAAAAUCCAUCAAACAUGUACAAAUAUACAAGCAAGUACAAGCUAGAGAAAGAACCAGCUGGCAAAAAUAUUAACUUUAUAAAGUUUAAUGUACACCAGAAACAUGAAAAUUAUUUUAUGUUUGAAUGCCAAACAUUUGUGGAAUAUUUCAGCAAAAACCCACAUGAUGAACAGGGAUGCCUGACAAACAUUUAGUAGUCACCUCAGGAACACAACUUCAUGUCAAGACUGUGUUGAUGGACAUUAUUUGUAAAAAAAAAAAAAAAAAAAAGCAAGGCUAAUAAUAAAAUUACUUUCUAUU